CGGCGGACGGGUGAGUAAUGCUUAGGAAUCUGCCUAUUAGUGGGGGACAACGUUCCGAAAGGGGCGCUAAUACCGCAUACGUCCUACGGGAGAAAGCAGGGGACCUUCGGGCCUUGCGCUAAUAGAUGAGCCUAAGUGGAUUAGCUAGUUGGUAGGGUAAAGGCCUACCAAGGCGACGAUCUGUAGCGGGUCUGAGAGGAUGAUCCGCCACACUGGGACUGAGACACGGCCCAG
This 234-nucleotide ribosomal RNA is filed under the name uncultured Pseudomonadales bacterium. Its description in RNAcentral is "partial 16S ribosomal RNA". It matches the Rfam family "Bacterial small subunit ribosomal RNA", at positions 96 to 334 of the family's 1533-position model. The record is from RNAcentral. Lineage: Bacteria; Pseudomonadati; Pseudomonadota; Gammaproteobacteria; Pseudomonadales.